This 520-nucleotide ribosomal RNA is filed under the name uncultured Glomus. RNAcentral's name for it is "partial 18S ribosomal RNA". The record is from RNAcentral. Lineage: Eukaryota; Fungi; Glomeromycota; Glomeromycetes; Glomerales; Glomeraceae.
CGUAAGGCGCCGAAUGAGUCAUUAAAAAAUUAACAUCAUCCGAUCCCUAGUCGGCAUAGUUUAUGGUUAAGACUACGACGGUAUCUGAUCGUCUUCGAUCCCCCUAACUUUCGUUCUUGAUUAAUGAAAACAUCCUUGGCAAAUGCUUUCGCAGUAGUUAGUCUUCAAUAAAUCCAAGAAUUUCACCUCUGACAAUUGAAUACUAAUGCCCCCCAACUAUCCCUAUUAAUCAUUACGUCAAUCCCUAGAAACCAACAAAAUAAGAUCGAACGUCCUAUUUCAUUAUUCCAUGCUAAUGUAUUCAAGCGUUAGCCUGCUUUAACACUCUAAUUUUUUCAAAGUAACAGUCCAGUUUCCCCGCAACACCAAAUUAAUGGCAUUACGGUUCAUCAGGAAGGAGGAAUCAGUAAGACCAGUGCAUACCAGAGGCAUGACCAAUCUACUAACCCCGAAAUUCAACUACGAGCUUUUUAACUGCAACAACUUUAAUAUACGCUAUUGGAGCUGGAUUACCGCGGCU